This 588-nucleotide ribosomal RNA is filed under the name uncultured bacterium. RNAcentral's name for it is "partial 16S ribosomal RNA". It matches the Rfam family "Bacterial small subunit ribosomal RNA", at positions 355 to 1375 of the family's 1533-position model. The record is from RNAcentral.
UGGGGAAUUUUGGACAAUGGGCGAAAGCCUGAUCCAGCAAUGCCGCGUGUGUGAAGAAGGCCUUCGGGUUGUAAAGCACUUUUGUCCGGAAAGAAAUCCUUGGCUCUAAUACAGUCGGGGGAUGACGGUACCGGAAGAAUAAGCACCGGCUAACUACGUGCCAGCAGCCGCGGUAAUACGUAGGGUGCAAGCGUUAAUCGGAAUUACUGGGCGUAAAGCGUGCGCAGGCGGUUUGCUAAGACCGAUGUGAAAUCCCCGGGCUCAACCUGGGAACUGCAUUGGUGACUGGCAGGCUAGAGUAUGGCAGAGGGGGGUAGAAUUCCACGUGUAGCAGUGAAAUGCGUAGAGAUGUGGAGGAAUACCGAUGGCGAAGGCAGCCCCCUGGGCCAAUACUGACGCUCAUGCACGAAAGCGUGGGGAGCAAAACAGGAUUAGAUACCCUGGUAGUCCACGCCCUAAAACGAUGUCAACUAGUUGUUGGGGGAUUCAUUUCCUUAGUAACGUAGCUAACGCGUGAAGUUGACCGCCUGGGGAGUACGGUCGCAAGAUUAAAACUCAAAGAAAUUGACGGGGUCAUAGCUGUUUCCU